RNAcentral lists this ribosomal RNA (802 nucleotides) under Raffaelea sp. S31. Its description in RNAcentral is "SSU rRNA". It matches the Rfam family "Eukaryotic small subunit ribosomal RNA", at positions 111 to 922 of the family's 1831-position model. The record is from RNAcentral. Lineage: Eukaryota; Fungi; Ascomycota; Sordariomycetes; Ophiostomatales; Ophiostomataceae.
UAUCGUCUAUUUGAUAGUACCUUACUACUUGGAUAACCGUGGUAAUUCUAGAGCUAAUACAUGCUGAAAACCCCGACUUCGGAAGGGAUGUAUUUAUUAGAUUAAAAGCCAACGCCCCUCGGGGCUCCCUGGUGAUUCAUGAUAACUGCUCGAAUCGCACGGCCUUGCGCCGGCGAUGGUUCAUUCAAAUUUCUGCCCUAUCAACUUUCGACGGCUGGGUCUUGGCCAGCCGUGGUGACAACGGGUAACGGAGGGUUAGGGCUCGACCCCGGAGAAGGAGCCUGAGAAACGGCUACUACAUCCAAGGAAGGCAGCAGGCGCGCAAAUUACCCAAUCCCGACGCGGGGAGGUAGUGACAAUAAAUACUGAUACAGGGCUCUUUUGGGUCUUGUAAUUGGAAUGAGUACAAUUUAAUUCCCUUAACGAGGAACAAUUGGAGGGCAAGUCUGGUGCCAGCAGCCGCGGUAAUUCCAGCUCCAAUAGCGUAUAUUAAAGUUGUUGCAGUUAAAAAGCUCGUAGUUGAACCUUGGGCCUGGCUGGCCGGUCCGCCUCACCGCGUGCACUGGUCCGGCCGGGCCUUUCCCUCUGGGGAGCCGCAUGCCCUUCGCUGGGCGUGUCGGGGAACCAGGACGUUUACUUUGAAAAAAUUAGAGUGUUCAAAGCAGGCUUAUGCUCGAAUACAUUAGCAUGGAAUAAUAGAAUAGGACGCGUGGUUCUAUUUUGUUGGUUUCUAGGACCGCCGUAAUGAUUAAUAGGGACAGUCGGGGGCAUCAGUAUUCAGUUGCGAGAGGUGAAAUUCUUG